This 431-nucleotide ribosomal RNA is filed under the name uncultured bacterium. Its description in RNAcentral is "partial 16S ribosomal RNA". It matches the Rfam family "Bacterial small subunit ribosomal RNA", at positions 29 to 507 of the family's 1533-position model. The record is from RNAcentral.
AACGAACGCUGGCGGCAGGCUUAACACAUGCAAGUCGAGCGCCCCGCAAGGGGAGCGGCAGACGGGUGAGUAACGCGUGGGAACGUACCUUUUGGUUCGGAACAACUCCGGGAAACUGGAGCUAAUACCGGAUAAGCCCUAACGGGGAAAGAUUUAUCGCCGAAAGAUCGGCCCGCGUCUGAUUAGCUAGUUGGUGAGGUAACGGCUCACCAAGGCGACGAUAAGUAGCUGGUCUGAGAGGAUGAUCAGCCACACUGGGGCUGAGACACGGUCCAGACUCCUACGGGAGGCAGCAGUGGGGGAUAUUGGACAAUGGGCGCAAGCCUGAUCCACCCAUGCCGCGUGAGUGAUGAAGGCCUUAGGGUUGUAAAGCUCUUUUGUCCGUGAAGAUAAUGACUGUACCGGAAGAAUAAGCCCCGGCUAACUUCGUG